This 929-nucleotide ribosomal RNA is filed under the name uncultured bacterium MT70. RNAcentral describes it as "bacterial SSU rRNA". It matches the Rfam family "Bacterial small subunit ribosomal RNA", at positions 531 to 1464 of the family's 1533-position model. The record is from RNAcentral.
GGUGCAAGCGUUGUCCGGAAUAUUGGGUGUAAAGGGUGCGUAGGCUGGCAUCUAAGUCUGGGGUGAAAUCUUGCCGCUUAACGGUAAAAUUGCCCUGGAUACUGGAUGUCUUGAAUCUGACAGAGGUCGGUGGAAUUCGUGGUGUAGCGGUGAAAUGCAUAGAUAUCACGAAGAACACCAGUGGCGAAGGCGGCCGGCUGGGUCAGUAUUGACGCUGAGGCACGAGAGCGUGGGGAGCGAACAGGAUUAGAUACCCUGGUAGUCCACGCUGUAAACGAUGUAUGCUAGUUGUUGGGCUUUCGGGCUCAGUGACGCAGUUAACGCAGUAAGCAUACCACCUGGGGAGUACGUUCGCAAGAAUGAAACUCAAAGGAAUUGACGGGGGCCCGCACAAGCGGUGGAGCAUGUGGCUUAAUUCGAUGCAACGCGAAGAACCUUACCCGGGCUAAAUCCACGAUGACCGGUCCCGAAAGGACCUUCCCUUCGGGGCAUCAUGGAAGGUGCUGCAUGGCUGUCGUCAGCUUCUGCCGUGAGGUGUUGCCUUAAGUGGCGCAACGAGCGCAACCCUCGUCCUUAGUUGCCAGCACGUAAUGGUGGGGACUCUAGAGAGACUGCCCCGGUCAACGGGGAGGAAGGUGGAGAUGACGUCAAGUCCUCAUGGCCCUUAUGUCCAGGGCUACACACGUGCUACAAUGGGCAGUACAGAGGGUAGCAACACUGUGAAGUGAAGCAAAUCCCGGAAAACUGUUCUCAGUUCGGAUUGGAGUCUGCAACUCGACUCCAUGAAGUUGGAAUCGCUAGUAAUCGUGGAUCAGCAUGCCACGGUGAAUACGUUCCCGGGCCUUGUACACACCGCCCGUCACACCAUGAGAGUUGGUUGUACCAGAAGUUGUCGGGCUAACCCUUCGGGGAGGCAGGCACCUAAGGUA